RNAcentral lists this ribosomal RNA (792 nucleotides) under uncultured Mycobacterium sp. RNAcentral's name for it is "bacterial SSU rRNA". It matches the Rfam family "Bacterial small subunit ribosomal RNA", at positions 558 to 1348 of the family's 1533-position model. The record is from RNAcentral. Lineage: Bacteria; Bacillati; Actinomycetota; Actinomycetes; Mycobacteriales; Mycobacteriaceae.
GCGUAAAGAGCUCGUAGGUGGUUUGUCGCGUUGUUCGUGAAAUCUCACGGCUUAACUGUGAGCGUGCGGGCGAUACGGGCAGACUUGAGUACUGCAGGGGAGACUGGAAUUCCUGGUGUAGCGGUGGAAUGCGCAGAUAUCAGGAGGAACACCGGUGGCGAAGGCGGGUCUCUGGGCAGUAACUGACGCUGAGGAGCGAAAGCGUGGGGAGCGAACAGGAUUAGAUACCCUGGUAGUCCACGCCGUAAACGGUGGGUACUAGGUGUGGGUUUCCUUCCUUGGGAUCCGUGCCGUAGCUAACGCAUUAAGUACCCCGCCUGGGGAGUACGGCCGCAAGGCUAAAACUCAAAGAAAUUGACGGGGGCCCGCACAAGCGGCGGAGCAUGUGGAUUAAUUCGACGCAACGCGAAGAACCUUACCUGGGUUUGACAUGCACAGGACGCCGGCAGAGAUGUCGGUUCCCUUGUGGCCUGUGUGCAGGUGGUGCAUGGCUGUCGUCAGCUCGUGUCGUGAGAUGUUGGGUUAAGUCCCGCAACGAGCGCAACCCUUGUCUCAUGUUGCCAGCGGGUAAUGCCGGGGACUCGUGAGAGACUGCCGGGGUCAACUCGGAGGAAGGUGGGGAUGACGUCAAGUCAUCAUGCCCCUUAUGUCCAGGGCUUCACACAUGCUACAAUGGCCGGUACAAAGGGCUGCGAUGCCGCGAGGUUAAGCGAAUCCUUUUAAAGCCGGUCUCAGUUCGGAUCGGGGUCUGCAACUCGACCCCGUGAAGCCGGAGUCGCUAGUAAUCGCAGA